This 199-nucleotide unclassified non-coding RNA is filed under the name uncultured Umbelopsis. RNAcentral describes it as "sequence contains ITS2". Lineage: Eukaryota; Fungi; Mucoromycota; Umbelopsidomycetes; Umbelopsidales; Umbelopsidaceae. The record is from RNAcentral.
GCACUCUCACAAGACACCUUUGUUGGUGAAGAUUGUGGAAUUGGGAUGCGCCAAUUGUUAUGGAUUGGCCCUCCUAAAAUGGAGCUCUUGACUGUGGACUAGCACAGUAGUUUGGCCUAAUAGUUUUGGCAUUUGUCAAAUCUUUGGCUACAUUUUACUUUGGUCCAUGCAGUCUUGAUAUACAGAAAACUUUUUCAAA